Hydra vulgaris (swiftwater hydra) is the source of this 186-nucleotide non-coding RNA. Lineage: Eukaryota; Metazoa; Cnidaria; Hydrozoa; Anthoathecata; Hydridae. The record is from RefSeq and is a predicted model, not a curated record.
ACAGUAUAAAAAAAUGUUUACAAAUAUCUUAACUUGCAACGUGUGACACGCUACACAUCAGUGUUGUCCAUCUUUAAUCGAGAAAUGCAUUCAGAACAUUUUAUGAAGUAUUGGCAGGCUGUACCUGACGUCUUACUUUCUUGCAACGAAAUCAAAAGAACUACAAACCAAUUAAAUUAAUUUUUA